RNAcentral lists this ribosomal RNA (452 nucleotides) under Escherichia coli. RNAcentral's name for it is "bacterial SSU rRNA". It matches the Rfam family "Bacterial small subunit ribosomal RNA", at positions 519 to 970 of the family's 1533-position model. The record is from RNAcentral. Lineage: Bacteria; Pseudomonadati; Pseudomonadota; Gammaproteobacteria; Enterobacterales; Enterobacteriaceae.
GGUAAUACGGAGGGUGCAAGCGUUAAUCGGAAUUACUGGGCGUAAAGCGCACGCAGGCGGUUUGUUAAGUCAGAUGUGAAAUCCCCGGGCUCAACCUGGGAACUGCAUCUGAUACUGGCAAGCUUGAGUCUCGUAGAGGGGGGUAGAAUUCCAGGUGUAGCGGUGAAAUGCGUAGAGAUCUGGAGGAAUACCGGUGGCGAAGGCGGCCCCCUGGACGAAGACUGACGCUCAGGUGCGAAAGCGUGGGGAGCAAACAGGAUUAGAUACCCUGGUAGUCCACGCCGUAAACGAUGUCGACUUGGAGGUUGUGCCCUUGAGGCGUGGCUUCCGGAGCUAACGCGUUAAGUCGACCGCCUGGGGAGUACGGCCGCAAGGUUAAAACUCAAAUGAAUUGACGGGGGCCCGCACAAGCGGUGGAGCAUGUGGUUUAAUUCGAUGCAACGCGAAGAACC